ACACCUAGAGGUUCCGUUAUUUGGUUUUAUCGGAUUGCCAAUAUAUGCUACUAGGCAUCACUAAUGGAUUGUGAGAGCCUACAGAAUGACGCGCGGUUGGUUAUUCUCAAAGGCUGCAUUUGGAAAUGGAAUAGUGUUUAGGGGGAUAAUAUUUUUUAUUCUUGAGAUUAGGAUGUAUUGUAGGAUAAUGAGGAAUAAAAUGAAAUGUAUGUUUGGUACGAAAUUCUCUUAUUCCAAAGAAUAAGCAAAUUUUUGUUUGGUUAAUUUUAUGAUAAGAGUUAGAGAAUACUAAAAAAGGUAGAU
RNAcentral lists this long non-coding RNA (303 nucleotides) under Ananas comosus (pineapple). RNAcentral describes it as "long non-coding RNA (ACOM_LNC013698)". Lineage: Eukaryota; Viridiplantae; Streptophyta; Magnoliopsida; Poales; Bromeliaceae. The record is from RNAcentral.